AGCUUCAGGAAUCACCGGUCCUGGACGCGAGUGCUCCACUGACCUCCUUUGCAGGAUGCAAUAGCCAAGAAUGAUCUCAACGGAUCAGGGACAAAGGGACCCUGGGAUCCCACCCGCUGGGGGGCUUGGAGAAUGUCCUGGGCAGCCACCAUCUCUCGAGACGAUGGCUCGUUUGUCUGCUCUGUGAGGCUGCAAGGCAGAGACAAGCCAGCCACCAGCUGCCCGCCCUGGUCCGCAGGGCUGGAGGCCUCUCUCCUUGGCUCACAGAUGGCUGUCUUCCCACUGGGUCCUCACCUGGUGUCUCCUCUGUGCCUAAGUCCCCUUGGGGUCUGUGUGUCCAAUGUCCUCUUCUUAGAAGGCCACCAGUCACACUGGAUGCAUUCCCACCCCAACGGCCUGUUUUUAUUUGAGGCCCUGUCUCCACAUACGUCACAUCUGAGGAUCUGGCCGUUAGAGCCUCAACUAUGCGUUUUGGGGGAACACGAUGAGACCCACGGAGGAGACGAUAACGAGGGUCACCAUGAGCAGGACCGCCGGGCAGGAAAGCCGAAGAAUGCGGUGUGUGGAUAGAAGCAGAUGAUGUCAGAGAGCCUGGAGAAUGCUGUGCUCCUGGCCUCGGACAUGGAACAAGGCGCCAAGUGCAAGUGGUCUCGCAGCUGGGAAACGCAGGCGAACAGAUUGCCCGUGGCGCCUCCGGAAGGAGUGCAGCCCUGCUCAUAACCGUGAUUUUACGCCAGUAGCUGCCAUUGUGGACUUCCAGUCUCCAGAACUGGAAGAGGACAGCGUUUUGAUGUUUUAAGCCCUUGAAUCUGUGGCGAUUUGUUACAGCAGCAAUAGAACACUCAACGUGCGGGUCCAGUGCCCCCAUCACCAACAGCCGCUAAGCAGAUACGUCUGCAGAAUUCUCCCCUCCAAACGCAGUGAUUGGUCCAAAGGUGGGAACAUGAGCCAAUCAGGGUCCUUCCCCGGGCUGUUCUGUUUGGGGCCGAACUCCGGGCAGGUGCGGCUUUCCCUGUGCGGGUCUAGAAUUGUCCAAAAGUGUACCUCCUAUGGCUUAGGAAAAGCCCGUCUGCAGCCUAGAGGCAGAGCUGCUAGAAGUGAGGAAAAGGAAGAGGACGAGGAGGAAGGAAAGGGUUCCAAGUGCUGCCCGAGCCCUGGGGUCCAGCUGUUCUCACACCCUGCCUGCCCUGCCUCUAGUGUGGUUAAACGAAGCUAUGCCCCUUGUGCUGGUUUGGGCUGGAUUUCCUGGAGUCCUGAUCAGAGUCGGAACUAAACCGUGUUACAGUGACAGGUGGGGACGCUGAGCAUGUCCCCUCCCCAGUUUAAAGGUGACUAAGUCUCACUGUGGGACCCCGUGCCUCCUGCGGGGGGCUGCAGGUACCCUGACUGCUCCCCCCUGAGUAUGCUGAGCGAAAGGCUGAAGUAAAUGCAGGUGACACUUCCACACGUGUGUGGGGAACCGAGGCCAGCGGCCAAGCUGUGGGCAGAGAAACGUCAGAGCUGGGAAUGGAGACGGAAACCCCCGCCACGCAGAACCAGGAGCUCAUGCGAGGGACAGAACGAUUCGAGGCCAAGCUGCCUGACUUCACACCCCGUCUUCACACCUUUCGACACAGGCGCUUGGGCAGAACAUUCCGGCUCGCCACCCCCAGACCCCCAUCUGUGAAACGGGGCUAGUAAAACACCUGUUGCCUGAGAUCGGUGCGGUGGUUAAGGAAUUUACACGAAGAGAUCACACAGACAGAGGCACACGGCCAGCUCCUGGGGACGCCCAGCCUCUGUGACAAGUGUCCUCGCCUCCUGCCUUCUCACUUGACACACCGCCUCCAGAAGGCAGGUGGCCUAUCCCUAGGGCCUCAGGCUGGGCCUGAUCAGAAGUGAGGCUCCCCGCUCCCUCCGUUCACAAUCUGAGCCACUGCCAAGCCCAGGGAUGAUCGUUUCGGCCUCCCCCCGCUUCUCAGACAGCACCUUCCCCACCAGGAGCCGGAAGGCACUCUUCACAUAAAGCCUUCCCCGUUUAAUUCGCUCUGUGGUCGCACUGCGGGAGACCGUAUUCUGCCCUCCAUCCGGCUUUUUCUCCUGCCUUGAAAAUCCGAUACUCAGGGCGCCUGGGUGGCGCAGUCGGUUAAGCGUCCGACUUCAGCC
Long non-coding RNA from Leopardus geoffroyi (Geoffroy's cat), 2145 nucleotides. RefSeq lists it as uncharacterized. The record is from RefSeq and is a predicted model, not a curated record. NCBI's taxonomy places the organism in Eukaryota, Metazoa, Chordata, Mammalia, Carnivora, Felidae. The transcript is spliced from 3 exons.